UCUUAUUCUUAUUCUUCUUCUUCUUCUUCUUUUUAGUUCAUUUUUUUAUGCCAUUGGAGAAUGAUUUGUGACCUGCUAUAGGUUUGAUUUACUUUGGGUAUGCAUCAUUUUCUAGUCUUCUUCUUUUGGGGUUUUUGUCUGAUUUACUUUUUCUUUGUUAAUUUCUUGAUAGAUAGAUGUAUAGAUAGAUAAAUAGUAUUUGUUAAUUUCUUACAUUACUCACCUCUUUUUGUAUUGAUAUGUCAUUUUUUUCAAUCUUAAUCUUUAUGGUACUUAUAUAAUUGGAAUUUGACAGCUGCGAACAUCAAGAAAUUAAGGGGCUAUUCUCUUUACUGUUUUCAGACUAUUUUUUGUUUUCGAUUUUUUAAAACGGUGAAAACGUGUUCUCUUUCCUAUUUUCAAAAACGAGUUUUUCAAAAAAAAAAAAAAAAUUGUACUAGAAAUUCAAAACGUUUUUUUAGAUGUUUUGAAUGUUUUGCAGCAAAAUCAUGAAAAUGAAUGAAAACACAGGAAACACACCCAAAUUAAAAACAAUCUUUAUCUCUUUCUUUUUACUCUCUAUCUUGUAAGAUAAAGCAAAUGUUCCUAAGGUUUGCUCUGCCUUCCCAUUCGCAGAUUGAAGGAUCUCAAAGGCUCAUCCUCAUCUCCUAUCCUCGUCUUUUGUUUUCUGCUCAAUACUAUCUUUAAAUCUAGGUAUUUCUUUGGUGUUAUUUCUCUGAACAGAUUUGGAUUUAUUUCUUUGGCUUUUCAAGCAUUCAAGAGUAUAAUGAGAUUAUUUUGGUAGAUCUAUAAGAAUAAUAAAAUGUGAGUACCAUAUCCAUGGUUUCUGUAGAUAUUUACCAUGAAUUCAGUGUCAGAAUCUCAUAGCAAUAUAUGUGUAGUUCUCACUGAAAUGGCAUCUCUAUUUUCGCACUUAGAGUUUGUGUUUUUCAUUUUUCUGUAAAUUAAUUUCUAUUAGGUGGGUAGGGUUAAGUUCCAACUUCCUAUAAUUCAUCAUUAAAUGAUCAUACAAGAACACGUUUGGAUAGCAUAAUCUCUAAUAAUUACACAGAAAUAUUGUUGUUGUUUAUUGUAUUUGCUAUUAUUGCGGCUUGUAUUGGCGUGUCUUGCUCUUGUAAUCAGGUUAACAAUGCAACAUACGGAGUUUUAGUUCUUGUUUCUUCCACACUUAAAUCAUACACAGUUGCAAAUUAGGUUAAAAUUAGGGUUAGUUAACAUUAUCACAAUUCCUAUUUGAUAAUUUGGUGUCGGUUAAGGUCAACUAGAUAGAAUUAAACUACUCAAUCUUUGUGGGACAACAUUUGGACUCAAAAUUUUCACUUUAUUACUUGUCACAAACCAUACAUUUGUGGAGCUUUAAAUAGAAAAAAAAAAUUCGUGAACAAGUUUUUAUGGGACCUAUUCUCACUUUUAUCUGAUUGAAGAAAGAUUCCUUCAAGCUUUGUUGCUCCUCGUUUUUUUCUACAGGAGUGGGAAAAAGUCGAGUGUUGAUUAAUUAGCAUUAGGGGCUGAAUAAAUUUAAUUAAGAACUGGCUGAUUUCUAGUCGAGUGAGUGGCGUGUGUUGCCUACACACUGCCUUGCAUAAUGCUUCAAGUUGGUAUUGCAAGAAAGGGCUCUUAAACUAACUUCAAGUCAUUGCACUAUCCUUUUCUCUGGAUAUUGAAAAGUAGAUUAGGGUAUUUGUGAAUGCUUUGUCCCUCGGUAGUUGGUGCUUAAUGAAUUUUCUACUGUAAAUAGUAAUUCCACAUUUCAUUAGCAUUGGUAUUAUAUUUCUGUGUAAUUUUCUACUGUAAAUAGUAAUUCAUCAUUUUUUUAUCUUUAUUGAAUAGCAUUUAUUCUACCAGUGUUAUGUUUUAAGUUCUGUUUUGUGACCGAAUUUUAUCAUGGGAUAAAUGCAUCACCUUAGUAGUGUCAUUGUAAUAUGUUUUGCUUCUAUUAUGUUAUGUUUUCCCUGCAUUCUUCCUAUCAACGGGUUAAUACUUUUAAGCAAUAUACUAGAUGUUGAAACCAAAACAUUUAACUUGAAGAAUUUUGAGCAAUUGAUGGUAUGUGAAUCGCCUAUGGAAGGUCUUAUAUAUUUCUUGAUAAUUUGAUGUAUAUCCAAUAUAGCUUCAACAUAAGUGGUCACAAAGUUAAGAAUAAGGAAUCAAUGUCAUGGUCGGACGAGAAUGAACACUCUUUUAUCGAAAUUCUUUACGAGCAAGUGAAAUCAAAUGCAUUGCAAUGUUCUGUAUUCACAAAAGACAAAUGGGGCAAGAGCAAUGAAAUCAUGAUAGCUUCGACAAAAAUGGAUUACGGCAUAGAUAGAUCAAAGGGAAAGUGGAACUGUUUAGGUAAGAUUCAUUGCAUAUUCUCUGAACUUUUGGGACAUACAGGUGUUACAUGAGAUCUAAAUACCAACAAAGUUAAUGCUGCAGAGGAAGUCUAGCAACACUUUUAUACAGUACAUAUAUUUAUUAAAGAAUAUUUUCGUCAUUAGUUUUUAUCUUAUCAAUUUUACAAUUUUUUGUUGAACAAUAUGAUAAGGUGGCUUCUUUUUUCAAUGGUAGAUAAACAAAUCGGAUUACAAGAUGUUCAAAAGGAAAGGAUAUAAGCACUACCACACUCUUUGGAAGAUAUUUAGCAAGACCACAGCUACUGGAGGAUUAGGCAAUGCCUCCACUCAACUUCCAAACACAUCAGAGAAAGAAAGACAAUUAGAAGAUAAUUUUUUGAACAGGGGGUACAUGUACGUUCGGAAAAUGAUGAUGAAUUUGAUGAGGUUUUAAAUACUCGUUGACGUGAUGAAAUUGGUACAUUGGAUGAACAUCGACGGAGGAAACCUAAGAUCAGUAAAUGAGGUUUAUAUGAAAGCAAUAAAGACUUUUAAGGAUCCCGAUUUUAGGGUGCCAUUUGUGAAUAUGCCAGAAGCAAGAAAAAGACCUAUCUUGGAACUAUUUUGACGUGACUGUUGUUUUCAUUUCUCUAGUGUUGUGUUGUUUUAAUUNAUGAUAAUGUGAGUACUGAUGAUUCCAAUGAUGAAUAUUCGAGUGAUGAUGAAUUGUUAUUUAUGGAUGAUUUUGAUUCAAAUUUUGGAGAUUUAAUGAUGCUUAAUUGCUUUGUUGCCAACAAAGGAAGUAUCAUUAAUGGUAGGAGACCUUGUAGAACAUUAUUGCUUACGAGAACAACAGGCUUGCUAGAAAUUCUAAAUGGACAUCCGGACAUAUGCCAUCGUAUUUUUCAUAUGCAAAAACAAGAAGUAUAUUGUUAUACUUUAAAUAAUUAUUGAGAAUAUAUUUACAGUGUCACAUUAUGUAAGCCUUUUUUUAUUUUGCAGAUCAAUUUUACCUUGUUGAUUACGGAUAUCCAAAUUUGUCUGGAUUUCUUGCCACUUAUCGAGGUCAAAAAUAUCAUCUGCAUAACUAUGUUGGACGGGGAAGACUACGUGGGAAGGAAAAAUUGUUCAACUAUAGACACUCCUCAUGCCAUAACAUUAUUGAACGUUGCAUUAGAAUUUUAAAGGCAAGAUUUCCUAUUCUGAAGUUGAUUCCCAAUUAUCCACUUAGUAGGCAAAGGCAAAUCCUUACCAUAUGUUGCGCAAUAAACAACUUUAUUCAUCAAGAGCACGCUUUAGAUGAGUUGUUCAUUGAAUAUUUUGAGGAGAAUAUGAUGUUUCAAGAUAUACCGGAGUCAAAUCAAGAUCAAGAAGUCAUACAUUUUGAUGCUAGUCGAACCGCUCAAAUGAGAUAAGUCAAGGAUCAAAUUGCUACACAAAUAUGAAAUGACUACUCAAGACGUCGUACAUGAUUCCGUGGAUGUACUUUAAAUUUUUUCCAGUGUCUGCUUGAUUUACCAUGACA
This 3840-nucleotide long non-coding RNA is filed under the name Olea europaea subsp. europaea. Lineage: Eukaryota; Viridiplantae; Streptophyta; Magnoliopsida; Lamiales; Oleaceae. The record is from RNAcentral.